RNAcentral lists this ribosomal RNA (272 nucleotides) under uncultured bacterium. RNAcentral's name for it is "partial 16S ribosomal RNA". It matches the Rfam family "Bacterial small subunit ribosomal RNA", at positions 83 to 354 of the family's 1533-position model. The record is from RNAcentral.
CUCCGCCGGCGACCGGCGCACGGGUGAGUAACACGUAUGCAACCUGCCCCUGUCAGGGGGACAACCCGCCGAAAGGCGGGCUAAACCCGCGUACAUGCCACCGGGGCAUCCCGGAGGCAGGAAAGGCUUCGGCCGGACAGGGAUGGGCAUGCGGCGCAUUAGGCAGUAGGCGGGGUGACGGCCCACCUAACCGACGAUGCGUAGGGGUUCUGAGAGGAAGGUCCCCCACACUGGUACUGAGACACGGACCAGACUCCUACGGAAGGCAGCAG